Molecule: ribosomal RNA, 926 nt
Filed under: uncultured organism
Description: bacterial SSU rRNA
Rfam family: Bacterial small subunit ribosomal RNA
Source: RNAcentral
UGGAUCCAGACUUUGAUCCUGGCUCAGGAUGAACGCUAGCUACAGGCUUAACACAUGCAAGUCGAGGGGAAACGAUAUUGGAAGCUUGCUUCCGAUAGGCGUCGACCGGCGCACGGGUGAGUAACGCGUAUCCAACCUGCCCACCACUUGGGGAUAACCUUGCGAAAGUAAGACUAAUACCCAAUGAUAUCUCUAGAAGACAUCUGAAAGAGAUUAAAGAUUUAUCGGUGAUGGAUGGGGAUGCGUCUGAUUAGCUUGUUGGCGGGGUAACGGCCCACCAAGGCGACGAUCAGUAGGGGUUCUGAGAGGAAGGUCCCCCACAUUGGAACUGAGACACGGUCCAAACUCCUACGGGAGGCAGCAGUGAGGAAUAUUGGUCAAUGGGCGAGAGCCUGAACCAGCCAAGUAGCGUGCAGGAUGACGGCCCUAUGGGUUGUAAACUGCUUUUAUAAGGGAAUAAAGUGAGCCUCGUGAGGCUUUUUGCAUGUACCUUAUGAAUAAGGACCGGCUAAUUCCGUGCCAGCAGCCGCGGUAAUACGGAAGGUCCGGGCGUUAUCCGGAUUUAUUGGGUUUAAAGGGAGCGUAGGCCGGAGAUUAAGCGUGUUGUGAAAUGUAGACGCUCAACGUCUGCACUGCAGCGCGAACUGGUUUCCUUGAGUACGCACAAAGUGGGCGGAAUUCGUGGUGUAGCGGUGAAAUGCUUAGAUAUCACGAAGAACUCCGAUUGCGAAGGCAGCUCACUGGAGCGCAACUGACGCUGAAGCUCGAAAGUGCGGGUAUCGAACAGGAUUAGAUACCCUGGUAGUCCGCACGGUAAACGAUGGAUGCCCGCUGUUGGUCUGAAUAGGUCAGCGGCCAAGCGAAAGCAUUAGGCAUCCCACCUGGGGAGUACGCCGGCAACGGUGCAACUCAAAUGAAUUGACGGA